Long non-coding RNA from Carassius auratus (goldfish), 2700 nucleotides. NCBI's taxonomy places the organism in Eukaryota, Metazoa, Chordata, Actinopteri, Cypriniformes, Cyprinidae. The record is from Ensembl.
AUGCAACAUGAGUCUCAAUGGAAGCAGAGAGGAGAGGGAUACAGGGUUGCGUUUAAGUGGACGAAUGAAGCAAUCGAAUGCAAAGGAAUUUCUUUCUCAACCUGGACCUUUUUAACAAUGUACACUUGGCGGUGCUUCCUCGCCAUUGUAUUUGUACUUGUCUGUUACUUCUCAGAGUUUGGACAAAUAUGGACACAAGCCUUCGUUUGUUUUUUAUGCUUUUUCAAUUUACCUUUCAAAAAGCAAAACCAUGAAACAAGCACUCAGACGGACGACACGCUUGAAGAAACAGAACAACAGACAAAGAAGGCUCACCAUGUUGGUGUCAGUGAUGAGACUGAUGCAGCCAGAACCGCACAAACUGAGUCUGAGACAAAGCAUUAUCCAAAUGUACAGAGGUCACUCCUCCAGGUGUUUAAAUGUGCCUAUGUUAACCUGGUCCAGCCGUGGUACACAGUCCCAGAACUGGGCGACAGUCAGCCCCUUCAUAGGGCACUACAGAUGGAGUUUAACCUGCUAGUCGAGAGAGUCAUUUGCAAGGCAAAAAGCUUUGAUCUGUCUGCCACCAGUGUGGGUUGUAUUAAGAUCUUCACUCAGCACCUGCAUAACGCAAAGCAGUCAGAUGGCUCUCCAAUGUUCGGUUCAAGGUCUGAGGAGAUGACAGUCCUCAGGGCCUUUUCUGAAGCUCUACUGCGAAACCUUUUUCCUGAGCACCUUUGGGAAGCAAAACUGUACCGGUGUGUCCUAACUGAGAUUGUUGCUAUUAAAGCUCUUGAUGUGCUCGUGAAAUGCCUCUGUAACCCAGACAUCUUGAAUCAGAUGGUGGUUUCGCAGCUGGAUAGAGUAACCUCUAAAAGCUCAACAGAAGACCUGCUAAACUCCGAUAGGGAAGGCACACCAUCUUCCACGGGAAGUGAAGAAGCAGAAGUAGUGACGGAUGAAACUGAUGCUCAGUAUGAAGACACAAAAGAAAAGAAGAAGGGCAAUAGGAUCAAAGAACAGUUUUCUAAAUUUGUUGAUAAGGUCAAGUCAAAAAAAGUCAAAAAGAAAUACCAGAAGAAGAAGAAGAAGGAGCAUGAUCUUUUACACAGGGCUUUAUCGUCACGAAGAUUUGCUGUUAUUGAAGAUGAUGCUGCAAACAGCAGAGAAAGCUCCUUUAGAAGCGGCAUGGACUCCGAUUAUGACAGUGAAUCGGAUGACCUAACAACAAAUGUCCGAGAAGAUAUGAUGGAGUUCAAGCUUUCUUAUGAGAUGUGGCGGGUGGGGAAGUGGGCAGUCCGUGUUACAAAUGUCCAAAAGGAAAAUGAAGAGCUUUGUUUCGUGCUUCACCUGGAGGAGAAAAAUAACCCAGAGAAUCUCAACUGGGAUGUAAAAAAGACCCAGUCAGAUAUACUUCAUUUUCACAGCCUCUGGCAGGAUACUUCCACUUUACCCUCUAUAUCUGCAAUAGUAGUAACAAAGCAGGGUCUUGAUGGUGCACAUGCAGAAGAAGUGGCAUCAGCCUUGGAGCACUUUUUACAAGAGGUGGUUUCUGAUGCACAGCUUGGUCACACUCAGCCUGUGUUCCAGUUCUUGUGUCCCAUUGUACAGCUGCUGAGUAAUAAGGACCAUAAGGGAGGUGUCUGGAGUUUCCUGAAUGGCCUUGCAAGCUUUCUUAAUCCUAGCCAAGAUGAGGAUGAGUCCCAUAAUCCCAGAGGAGAAGAAAAGGUUGAUGGAGCAGGAUCCUCAGGACAUAACAGUGGACAGUCGACAGGACAGCCAGCCUCCAUCAACACAGAUGAAGAACCAAAGGGGGGCAUUGUAGAAGGACCAGUGGCUACACGCGUUAGGUUUUAUAACCCCAGUGAAGAAACUGAAACCUUCAAAAGUACAGAACCAGAUAUAGAAGAUCAGACCUCUGAUGAACAGGACGUGGUUUCAGAUUUACAGGAGAGUCUUGCUGAAAGUUUAGAUAUCUUUGUUAAUAGGUCAAAAUUAGUCAGUCCUUCAGGACAAUUGAGUGAUAUCUCAAGCUCAGUCAUGAACCACACUGAAGGCUUGCAGUCUGACUCAGUAGAUGGCUUCGCAGGUGCUCAGUCUGGGGGCAAAACAAACAAAAAAGAAAAGAUAACUCAAAGAAAGUCAAAUGGAUUUCAAAAGGCCAAAAUAAAAGAGAAAAUGGGACAGCUCAAGGACGAGAUGGCAAAUCAGCCUCAGGCACAGAAAAAGGAACCCCAGAACAACUGGGACAAAGUUGAGGCCACCAAAGCCAUAUUUGAGCUAGUUAAGGAAAUAACUGGUAACUCAGUCUUCAUUAACAUUGUUGAUGCUAUUCUAAAAGCAGUCCAGCCUUUGUUAAAGAAGAAAAUAAACAACUUUUUAAAAAAGAUGCAUCCCACUGAAGCUCAGAUUGCAUCCUACAUUGACAGUUUCCGGGAGAAGAUAUGGCCAGGAGUAAACGCGCCCUUCCAGCCGCCGUGUGACAGUGAGGAGAAACAAAAGACCAGGGAGAAGGCUUUGCAGCUUAUAAAUUCUAAAUAUUCAAACUCUCUAAUUCUCAAGAAGACUGAUGUUGAAACUGUGUUCAAGAUCUUCCAGGACACUGAGGAGAACAAGAAAUUGGUUUAUAUGCUGCUGUCAUACAUUCUUGGGGAGUUCUUACCUGGAGAGCCUGCCUUCAGUGAAAUAGCUAAUUUAACUGUGAAGGAUUUAUUUUCAUAA